This 1032-nucleotide ribosomal RNA is filed under the name Triticum aestivum (bread wheat). Its description in RNAcentral is "partial small subunit ribosomal RNA". Lineage: Eukaryota; Viridiplantae; Streptophyta; Magnoliopsida; Poales; Poaceae. The record is from RNAcentral.
AUGGGGAGCCUACUCCCGCUGGCGCUGCUCGUCGUCCUCUCCGCCGCCGCGGCCGCCCCCCAGCUCGUCGGUGCAGCAAGGAGAGACCAUUCCCUAGGAAUCAUCCAGAAAGAUAUCAUACAAACGGUCAACAACCACCCCAACGCCGGAUGGACGGCUGGACACAACCCCUACCUCGCGAAUUACACUAUUGAGCAAUUUAAGCAUAUGCUGGGAGUGAAGCCAACGCCUCCAGGUUUACGGGCUGCUGUUCGCACCAAAACUCAUUCAAGAUCGGAGCAGCUCCCAAAGGUGUUCGACGCCAGGUCGAAAUGGUCCGGUUGCAGCACAAUUGGGAAAAUACUUGAUCAAGGUCACUGUGGUUCCUGCUGGGCUUUUGGUGCCGUGGAGUGCCUGCAAGAUCGUUUCUGCAUCCAUCACAACAUGAACAUUACACUUUCUGCCAAUGACCUAGUGGCUUGCUGUGGGUUUAUGUGUGGCGAUGGUUGUGAUGGAGGAUAUCCUAUCAGUGCGUGGCAAUACUUCGUCCAGAAUGGUGUUGUUACUGACGAGUGCGAUCCAUACUUUGAUCAGGUUGGCUGCAAGCAUCCUGGAUGUGAACCUGCUUAUCCUACACCUGUGUGUGAAAAGAAAUGCAAGGUGCAGAACCAAGUUUGGGAGGAAAAGAAACAUUUCAGCAUCAAUGCAUACCAAGUAAACUCUGAUCCACAUGACAUCAUGGCAGAGGUCUACAAUAAUGGCCCUGUAGAAGUUGCUUUCACAGUUUAUGAGGACUUCGCACACUACAAGUCAGGAGUGUACAAGCACAUCACCGGUGGAGUCAUGGGAGGUCACGCCGUCAAGUUGAUUGGUUGGGGAACUAGUGAUGCUGGCGAGGAUUACUGGCUUCUUGCAAAUCAGUGGAACAGAGGCUGGGGCGAUGACGGGUACUUCAAGAUCAUAAGGGGCAAGAAUGAAUGUGGCAUCGAAGAAGAUGUUACUGCCGGUAUGCCCUCGACAAAGAACAUCGCCGGUAGCGCCUUCGCAAUUUAA